AUGCUCGGCCGCCUUGCCUCAAUCGUCCUGAAGGAGCUUCUCAAGGGUCAGAAGGUAUUUCUCGUUAUAUGCGGAGAAAUUUUCAUCUCUAGCGGUCUCGUUAGACAGAAGAUGAAAUACACGUGGUUCCUUCGUAAGUGUAUGAACACCAAAACCUCUCAUCGUCCUAUUCACUUUCAUGCUCCAUCCAAGAUCUUUUGGCGCACUGUUCAUGGAAUGAUUCCACACAAGACCAAGCGUGGAGAGGCUUCACUUGCUAGGUUAAAAGUAUAA
Molecule: non-coding RNA, 273 nt
Organism: Vicia faba (fava bean)
Lineage: Eukaryota; Viridiplantae; Streptophyta; Magnoliopsida; Fabales; Fabaceae
Source: the annotation of a GenBank genome assembly